This 253-nucleotide ribosomal RNA is filed under the name uncultured bacterium. RNAcentral describes it as "partial 16S ribosomal RNA". It matches the Rfam family "Bacterial small subunit ribosomal RNA", at positions 524 to 776 of the family's 1533-position model. The record is from RNAcentral.
UACGUAGGGUGCAAGCGUUGUCCGGAAUUAUUGGGCGUAAAGAGCUCGUAGGCGGUCUGUCGCGUCGGCUGUGAAAACUCGGGGCUCAACUCCGAGCCUGCAGUCGAUACGGGCAGACUAGAGUUCGGUAGGGGAGACUGGAAUUCCUGGUGUAGCGGUGAAAUGCGCAGAUAUCAGGAGGAACACCGGUGGCGAAGGCGGGUCUCUGGGCCGAUACUGACGCUGAGGUGCGAAAGCGUGGGGAGCAAACAGG